This is a long non-coding RNA of Bubalus bubalis (water buffalo), 575 nucleotides long. RefSeq lists it as uncharacterized. Lineage: Eukaryota; Metazoa; Chordata; Mammalia; Artiodactyla; Bovidae. The transcript is spliced from 2 exons. The record is from RefSeq and is a predicted model, not a curated record.
ACAAACAGCACUUCUGGCUAAGCCCAAUUUGCAUAGGGCAGGCCCAGGUGGAGGAAAAAACAUAUAAAAGGAGGAGCCAAAGUGCUUUCUCUGGGACUCUCUCUCCCGUGUGCAUGCGUGCGCGCUCUCGCACUCUCUCUCUCUCCUGCUAUCUUCUAAAUAAAAUGGAGCUGUAACACUGAUUUGCCUAAGAGCUGUAACACGGUUUGUACAAGACCCAAGAGGAGUGACGCGCCGAGGGCUUUAAUGUCCAUUGUUCCAAAUCUUUGUUGUGACGAGACAAAGAACCGAGGAACAUACACUCGCGUGACAUCUAUGGUGCCGUAACUCGGAUCAAACUUGGCUGAAACAACCUCCGCGUGGAAGAGGCCAAGCACAGCAGGAGCCCAAUUCAGCAAAGCUCCCGCGCUAGAAGCAGAAGGCGAAGAAACCCAGCUCAGGGGAAGGCCCAUCAUGCUGGAAACCAGGACAGCGAAAAACGAACUCAGCAGAAAGCUCACGCGGCCUAGUCUCAGAUUCCAGAAGACCUCCGGUUAAGGUCAACCAGCUACAACAUGCAGUGCCAGUUCAACAAA